GGAAUCUUGCGCAAUGGUCGAAAGCCUGACGCAGCAACGCCGCGUGCGGGAUGAAGGCCUUCGGGCUGUAAACCGCUUUCAGCAGGAACGAAAAUGACGGUACCUGCAGAAGAAGGAGCGGCCAACUACGUGCCAGCAGCCGCGGUGACACGUAGGCUCCAAGCGUUGUCCGGAUUUAUUGGGCGUAAAGAGCUCGUAGGCGGCUUAGUAAGUCGGGUGUUAAAACUCUGGGCUCAACCCGGAGAGGCCAUCCGAUACUGCUGUGACUUGAGUUCAGGAGGGGAGCGGGGAAUUCCUAGUGUAGCGGUGAAAUGCGCAGAUAUUAGGAGGAACACCGGUGGCGAAGGCGCCGCUCUGGACUGAAACUGACGCUGAGGAGCGAAAGCAUGGGUAGCAAACAGGAUUAGAUACCCUGGUAGUCCAUGCCGUAAACGGUGGGCACUAGGUGUGGGUUCCAACUAACGGGAUCCGCGCCGUCGCUAACGCAUUAAGUGCCCCGCCUGGGGAGUACGGUCGCAAGACUAAAACUCAAAUGAAUUGACGG
This 544-nucleotide ribosomal RNA is filed under the name uncultured bacterium. RNAcentral describes it as "bacterial SSU rRNA". It matches the Rfam family "Bacterial small subunit ribosomal RNA", at positions 358 to 916 of the family's 1533-position model. The record is from RNAcentral.